AGAGUUUGAUCCUGGCUCAGGAUGAACGCUAGCGACAGGCUUAACACAUGCAAGUCGAGGGGCAGCGAUAGGUGGCAACACCGAGUCGGCGACCGGCGCACGGGUGAGUAACGCGUAUGCAACCUGCCCAUCAGCGGGGGAUAACCCGUCGAAAGACGGACUAAUACCGCAUAAAACAGGGGUUCCGCAUGGAAAUAUUUGUUAAAGAUUUAUUGCUGAUGGAUGGGCAUGCGUUCUAUUAGGCAGUUGGCGGGGUAACGGCCCACCAAACCGACGAUAGAUAGGGGUUCUGAGAGGAAGGUCCCCCACAUUGGUACUGAGACACGGACCAAACUCCUACGGGAGGCAGCAGUGAGGAAUAUUGGUCAAUGGGCGCAAGCCUGAACCAGCCAAGUCGCGUGAAGGAAGACGGCCCUAUGGGUUGUAAACUUCUUUAGGGUGGGAACAAAGGACGCCACGAGUGGCGAGAUGAGUGUACCACCAGAAUAAGCAUCGGCUAACUCCGUGCCAGCAGCCGCGGUAAUACGGAGGAUGCGAGCGUUAUCCGGAUUUAUUGGGUUUAAAGGGUGCGUAGGCGGUUUGUCAAGUCAGCGGUCAAACUGCGGGGCUUAACCUCGUAUUGCCGUUGAAACUGGCUGACUAGCGUGGCGUCGAGGUGUGCGGAAUGCGUUGUGUAGCGGUGAAAUGCAUAGAUAUGACGCAGAACUCCGAUUGCGAAGGCAGCACACCGGGCGCCUACGGACGCUGAGGCACGAAAGCGUGGGUAUCGAACAGGAUUAGCUACCCUGGUAGUCCACGCAGUAAACGAUAAUAAUGGCUGUCCGGCAGCGAUGUUGGGCGGCGGAGCGAAAGCGUUAAGUAUCCACCUGGGAGUACGCCG
RNAcentral lists this ribosomal RNA (880 nucleotides) under uncultured bacterium. RNAcentral describes it as "bacterial SSU rRNA". It matches the Rfam family "Bacterial small subunit ribosomal RNA", at positions 8 to 887 of the family's 1533-position model. The record is from RNAcentral.